RNAcentral lists this ribosomal RNA (148 nucleotides) under Enterobacter hormaechei. RNAcentral describes it as "partial 23S ribosomal RNA". The stretch from base 1 to 130 matches the Rfam family "Bacterial large subunit ribosomal RNA", at positions 2801 to 2925 of the family's 2925-position model. The record is from RNAcentral. Lineage: Bacteria; Pseudomonadati; Pseudomonadota; Gammaproteobacteria; Enterobacterales; Enterobacteriaceae.
GAGAUGAGUUCUCCCUGAGACCUUGAGUCUCCUGAAGGAACGUUGAAGACGACGACGUUGAUAGGUCGGGUGUGUAAGCGCAGCGAUGCGUUGAGCUAACCGAUACUAAUGAACCGUGAGGCUUAACCUUACAACGCCGAAGGUGUUU